RNAcentral lists this ribosomal RNA (451 nucleotides) under uncultured bacterium. Its description in RNAcentral is "partial 16S ribosomal RNA". It matches the Rfam family "Bacterial small subunit ribosomal RNA", at positions 28 to 523 of the family's 1533-position model. The record is from RNAcentral.
GAUGAACGCUGGCGGCGUGCCUAAUACAUGCAAGUCGAACGAGGUCUUCGGACCUAGUGGCGAACGGGUGAGUAACACGUUGGUACCUACCCCGAAGUGGGGAAUAGCUGCCCGAAAAGGUGGCUAAUACCGCAUAAUACCGCAAGGUUAAAGCAGUAAUGCGCUUCGGGAGGGGCCUGCGUCCCAUUAGCUAGUUGGUAGGGUAAUGGCCUACCAAGGCGACGAUGGGUAGCUGGAUCGAGAGGUUGACCAGCCACACUGGGACUGAGAUACGGCCCAGACUCCUACGGGAGGCAGCAGUAAGGAAUCUUCCACAAUGGACGAAAGUCUGAUGGAGCAACGCCGCGUGCAGGAUGACGGCCUUCGGGUUGUAAACUGCUUUUAUACGGGAAGAUUAUGACGGUACCGUAUGAAUAAGGACCGGCUAACUACGUGCCAGCCGCCGCCGUAA